ACAGUGAGAGCAUGCUGCAUUCCUGCACCCAGAGACCAGCCAGCUGCCAGAGGGACUUUCCUGCCAACCUGUACCAUUGACCAGCCUGUGGAAGAGGGACCAUCUUACCAGCCUGUUGCAGAGGAACCAGCCAGAUGAAGAUUCACCUCCAGAAGCAGCGGUAGCACAAGAAUGCUUCUGGGGAAUCCUGGAUAUGGGAAGAAAGCCUUUGCAAAUAGGAUGUAGGAGAACUACUGUAUCUCCGAUCAUUAAUCAGCUUCGGAAUGCCCUGUCAUUUGGAAAAUGUGGGCAAAGAGAAUACCAAUGCGACGCCACCCUAAAUCAAGUUAACCAACCUUCUGGCACAACAUUAUGACCCUUAAAUGCCCCUUUUGCUGAACAGCAUGAACGGAAAGACCGCCUCCCCAUGCUGGAACUCCGGAUUGCCCAGGAAUGUCAGAAACAAGGAUUUGUGCCCACCUAAAUUCCUAGCAUGUCUAAGAAUAUGCCACAGAUGAUAUACCGUCCACAGAAGAGGGUUAUCUCUCAAGUCUUGGUCGAAUUCCGCUUCCACCCCGUGAAGGAAAGAUAUCAGGUUUCUGGACCCUACAAAUUGUGCCUCCAGCUGUGUAUUAGCAUAAGUAUCACUAUUAUGUAACCAGUCUCUUAAAAAUCUCAAUAAAGAAGCGAAGCAUGGUUAUAAAUCUGGAUGUUUGGAAAAUGUAUUCCCCCGUUAGCUUUAGGCUGUUGUAAUUUAUGCAUAGCAAUAC
Molecule: long non-coding RNA, 749 nt
Organism: Pseudophryne corroboree (corroboree frog)
Lineage: Eukaryota; Metazoa; Chordata; Amphibia; Anura; Myobatrachidae
Exons: 4
Source: RefSeq, a predicted model, not a curated record